RNAcentral lists this ribosomal RNA (1528 nucleotides) under Klebsiella pneumoniae. RNAcentral describes it as "bacterial SSU rRNA". It matches the Rfam family "Bacterial small subunit ribosomal RNA". The record is from RNAcentral. Lineage: Bacteria; Pseudomonadati; Pseudomonadota; Gammaproteobacteria; Enterobacterales; Enterobacteriaceae.
AGAGUUUGAUCAUGGCUCAGAUUGAACGCUGGCGGCAGGCCUAACACAUGCAAGUCGAGCGGUAGCACAGAGAGCUUGCUCUCGGGUGACGAGCGGCGGACGGGUGAGUAAUGUCUGGGAAACUGCCUGAUGGAGGGGGAUAACUACUGGAAACGGUAGCUAAUACCGCAUAACGUCGCAAGACCAAAGUGGGGGACCUUCGGGCCUCAUGCCAUCAGAUGUGCCCAGAUGGGAUUAGCUAGUAGGUGGGGUAACGGCUCACCUAGGCGACGAUCCCUAGCUGGUCUGAGAGGAUGACCAGCCACACUGGAACUGAGACACGGUCCAGACUCCUACGGGAGGCAGCAGUGGGGAAUAUUGCACAAUGGGCGCAAGCCUGAUGCAGCCAUGCCGCGUGUGUGAAGAAGGCCUUCGGGUUGUAAAGCACUUUCAGCGGGGAGGAAGGCGUUAAGGUUAAUAACCUCAUCGAUUGACGUUACCCGCAGAAGAAGCACCGGCUAACUCCGUGCCAGCAGCCGCGGUAAUACGGAGGGUGCAAGCGUUAAUCGGAAUUACUGGGCGUAAAGCGCACGCAGGCGGUCUGUCAAGUCGGAUGUGAAAUCCCCGGGCUCAACCUGGGAACUGCAUUCGAAACUGGCAGGCUAGAGUCUUGUAGAGGGGGGGAGAAUUCCAGGUGUAGCGGUGAAAUGCGUAGAGAUCUGGAGGAAUACCGGUGGCGAAGGCGGCCCCCUGGACAAAGACUGACGCUCAGGUGCGAAAGCGUGGGGAGCAAACAGGAUUAGAUACCCUGGUAGUCCACGCCGUAAACGAUGUCGAUUUGGAGGUUGUGCCCUUGAGGCGUGGCUUCCGGAGCUAACGCGUUAAAUCGACCGCCUGGGGAGUACGGCCGCAAGGUUAAAACUCAAAUGAAUUGACGGGGGCCCGCACAAGCGGUGGAGCAUGUGGUUUAAUUCGAUGCAACGCGAAGAACCUUACCUGGUCUUGACAUCCACAGAACUUACCAGAGAUGCAUUGGUGCCUUCGGGAACUGUGAGACAGGUGCUGCAUGGCUGUCGUCAGCUCGUGUUGUGAAAUGUUGGGUUAAGUCCCGCAACGAGCGCAACCCUUAUCCUUUGUUGCCAGCGGUCCGGCCGGGAACUCAAAGGAGACUGCCAGUGAUAAACUGGAGGAAGGUGGGGAUGACGUCAAGUCAUCAUGGCCCUUACGACCAGGGCUACACACGUGCUACAAUGGCAUAUACAAAGAGAAGCGACCUCGCGAGAGCAAGCGGACCUCAUAAAGUAUGUCGUAGUCCGGAUUGGAGUCUGCAACUCGACUCCAUGAAGUCGGAAUCGCUAGUAAUCGUAGAUCAGAAUGCUACGGUGAAUACGUUCCCGGGCCUUGUACACACCGCCCGUCACACCAUGGGAGUGGGUUGCAAAAGAAGUAGGUAGCUUAACCUUCGGGAGGGCGCUUACCACUUUGUGAUUCAUGACUGGGGUGAAGUCGUAACAAGGUAACCGUAGGGGAACCUGCGGUUGGAUCACCU